UGCUAUUGGCAAAACAUCGAU
Non-coding RNA from Caenorhabditis elegans, 21 nucleotides. Lineage: Eukaryota; Metazoa; Nematoda; Chromadorea; Rhabditida; Rhabditidae. The record is from Ensembl.